UAGGGAAUCUUCGGCAAUGGACGAAAGUCUGACCGAGCAACGCCGCGUGAGUGAAGAAGGUUUCCGGAUCGUAAAACUCUGUUGUUAGAGAAGAACAAGGACGUUAGUAACUGAACGUCCCCUGACGGUAUCUAACCAGAAAGCCACGGCUAACUACGUGCCAGCAGCCGCGGUAAUACGUAGGUGGCAAGCGUUGUCCGGAUUUAUUGGGCGUAAAGCGAGCGCAGGCGGUUUCUUAAGUCUGAUGUGAAAGCCCCCGGCUCAACCGGGGAGGGUCAUUGGAAACUGGGAGACUUGAGUGCAGAAGAGGAGAGUAGAAUUCCAUGUGUAGCGGUGAAAUGCGUAGAUAUAUGGAGGAACACCAGUGGCGAAGGCGGCUCUCUGGUCUGUAACUGACGCUGAGGCUCGAAAGCGUGGGGAGCAAACAGG
RNAcentral lists this ribosomal RNA (429 nucleotides) under Gemmatimonadota bacterium. RNAcentral describes it as "Gemmatimonadetes bacterium partial 16S ribosomal RNA". It matches the Rfam family "Bacterial small subunit ribosomal RNA", at positions 355 to 776 of the family's 1533-position model. The record is from RNAcentral. Lineage: Bacteria; Pseudomonadati; Gemmatimonadota.